UAUCUCUGUAGAGUCUGCAUAUCAAUAAGCGGAGGAAAAGAAACUAACAAGGAUUCCCUUAGUAACGGCGAGUGAAGCGGGAAGAGCUCAAAUUUGAAAUCUUCAAGGUUCUACCUUGACGAAUUGUAGUUUAAAGAAGUGUUUUCUGUUAGAUGAGUAGCAAAAGUUCCUUGGAAUGGGACAUCAUAGAGGGUGAGAAUCCCGUAUUUGACUCAUUACUUCUAGCUUUGUGAUACACUUUCAAAGAGUCGGAUUGUUUGGGAAUGCAGUCCAAAAUGGGUGGUAAAUUUCAUCUAAAGCUAAAUAUUGGCGAGAGACCGAUAGCGAACAAGUACCGUGAGGGAAAGAUGAAAAGAACUUUGAAAAGAGAGUUAAACAGUACGUGAAAUUGUCAAAAGGGAAGCGUUUGACACCAGUGUUGUUUUUCCGAAAAUCAAUUACGAAUGGCUUGAUUUUGUGUUGUAUUGACCUUAUCAGCUUUCUUCACUUUUUUCGAGUCUUUCUUAAUGCACUUUUCGGUUAACAAGUCAACAUCAAUUUCUUUUGUUGUAAAAGAGUAUUCGGAAGGUGGCUUUCUUUUCGGAGAAAGUGUUUAUAGCCCUAUACUUCUACAAUCGGAGAGAUUGAGGUCUGCAGCGUAGAUCCUUCGGGGUUAGAUACACUUGUGCCUAAGUUGUAGCUUUUCAUAGACAACUUGUUGACUAUGUUUAGUCAUGCGGCUUACUCGCUUGUGCUAUUUUACCUACGCUUAGGAUGUUGACGAGACUGUCGAUCUCAUCUAUACAUGACUCUGCGCAUAUCAAUAAGCGGAGGAAAAGAAACUAACAAGGAUUCCCUUAGUAACGGCGAGUGAAGCGGGAAGAGCUCAAAUUUGAAAUCUUCAAGGUUCUACCUUGACGAAUUGUAGUUUAUAGAAGUGUUUUCUGUUAGUGGAGUGGCAAAAGUUCUUUGGAAUAGGACAUCAUAGAGGGUGAGAAUCCCGUAUUUGGUCAUUCCUCCUAGCGUUGUGAUACACUUUCAACGAGUCGGAUUGUUUGGGAAUGCAGUCCAAAAUGGGUGGUAAAUUUCAUCUAAAGCUAAAUAUUGGCGAGAGACCGAUAGCGAACAAGUACCGUGAGGGAAAGAUGAAAAGAACUUUGAAAAGAGAGUUAAACAGUACGUGAAAUUGUCAAAAGGGAAGCGUUUGACACCAGUGUUGUUUUUCCGAAAAUCAAUUACGAAUGUUUUGUUUUUAAGAAGUUAUGACUUCAUCGGCUUGCUUCUUUCUUUACGAAACUUUCUUAAUGCACUUUUCGGUUAACAAGUCAACAUCAAUUUCUUUUGUUGUAAAAGGGUCAUUGGAGGGUGGCUUUCAUUUCGGUGAAAGUGUUUAUAGCCUUUGACCUCUGCAAUCGGAGAGAUUGAGGUCUGCAGCGUAGAUCCUUCGGGGUUAGAUACAUUUGUGCUAAGUUAUAGUUUUUCAUAGACAACCUGUUGACUAUGAUUAAUCAUGUAGCUUACUCGCUUAUGCUAUUUUACCUACGCUUAGGAUGUUGAUAGUCACAGCGUGUAC
RNAcentral lists this ribosomal RNA (1552 nucleotides) under uncultured Neocallimastigales. RNAcentral's name for it is "partial large subunit ribosomal RNA". The stretch from base 770 to 1552 matches the Rfam family "Eukaryotic large subunit ribosomal RNA", at positions 1 to 644 of the family's 3401-position model. The record is from RNAcentral. Lineage: Eukaryota; Fungi; Neocallimastigomycota; Neocallimastigomycetes; Neocallimastigales.